RNAcentral lists this long non-coding RNA (979 nucleotides) under Equus asinus (donkey). RNAcentral's name for it is "lncRNA (ENSEASG00005037366.1)". The record is from RNAcentral. Lineage: Eukaryota; Metazoa; Chordata; Mammalia; Perissodactyla; Equidae.
GCUGAAGCUGCGUCAUCACAGUGGCCACAGGGGCACGCUGACCACGUCCCCCCUGCCGCCUGGCCCUACAGAAAGCUCUGGGUUCUCACCCAUUUCCUAAGUUUGGUUUCCAAGCCACCGAUCAAUUUUAAGAACUCUGAUGUCCUUCUAAUAAACGUCUUUAUGCUGAAGAUGGCCAGAGUUUGUUUCUUGCUGGCAACCAGGAAUUCUGAGUGAGACGUAAAGAACUCAAGGGAAGAGGCAAGUUGUGCAUUAACCAAGCGUCCUGUUCAGGUUUUUGUAGCCAACCUUCAAGAUGGCCCCCAAUGAUUCUUUCAUGUUGGAAUUCAUGCCACGUGCAGUCCCCUCCCACACUGAAUAGGGCUGACGUGUGUAACCAACAAGAUAUUGCAGAAAUGAUGGAGUGUGAUGUCCAAGACUAUGUCAUAAAAGACGUUACAGCUUCCACCUUGCUCUCUCUUGGAUCCCUUUUCUGGAAGAAGCCAGCUGCCAUGUUGUGAGAACACUCAAGCAGCCUUACAAGAGGUCCGCGUGGUGAGGAACUAAGUUUCUUGCCAAUAGGCAGCAUGAAUGGGGCAGUCAUACAAGUAAGCCAUCUUGGAAUCAGAUCCUCUGGCCCCAAACAAACCUUCAGAAGACCACAGCAUAGUGAGGGACCAGGACCUGGAACCACUUAAGUCGUCCCUGAAUUUCUUAUCAACAGACACUGUGUGAGGCAAAUAAUGAAGCAUCAGAUGGGGAGUGCCCCAGCCAGGUAGACAGAGCUGAAGUGUGGAGUGAGAAGACCCAGAUGGAGGAAAGGGACCAGGAAAGCAGGCGGCCUCUAGAAGUUGCAAAAGGCAAGGAAGCAGAUUCACCCCGGGGCCUCCAGAAGGAAUGCAGCCCUGCCAAUACCUUGAUUUUAGACCUGUAUUGGACCUCUGACCUACAUAAAGUUCUGUUUCAGGUCUGUGAACAAAGGUGCACAUUGGCAGCCAGG